AUUGAACGCUGGCGGCAGGCCCAACACAUGCAAGUCGAGCGGAUGAAGGGAGCUUGCUCCUGGAUUCAGCGGCGGACGGGUGAGUAAUGCCUAGGAAUCUACCUGGUAGUGGGGGAUAACGUCCGGAAACGGGCGCUAAUACCGCAUACGUCCUGAGGGAGAAAGUGGGGGAUCUUCGGACCUCACGCUAUCAGAUGAGCCUAGGUCGGAUUAGCUAGUUGGUGGGGUAAAGGCCUACCAAGGCGACGAUCCGUAACUGGUCUGAGAGGAUGAUCAGUCACACUGGAACUGAGACACGGUCCAGACUCCUACGGGAGGCAGCAGUGGGGAAUAUUGGACAAUGGGCGAAAGCCUGAUCCAGCCAUGCCGCGUGUGUGAAGAAGGUCUUCGGAUUGUAAAGCACUUUAAGUUGGGAGGAAGGGCAGUAAGUUAAUACCUUGCUGUUUUGACGUUACCAACAGAAUAAGCACCGGCUAACUUCGUG
Molecule: ribosomal RNA, 484 nt
Filed under: uncultured bacterium
Lineage: Bacteria
Description: partial 16S ribosomal RNA
Rfam family: Bacterial small subunit ribosomal RNA
Source: RNAcentral